RNAcentral lists this long non-coding RNA (4452 nucleotides) under Sus scrofa (pig). Its description in RNAcentral is "lncRNA (ENSSSCG00050015426.1)". The record is from RNAcentral. Lineage: Eukaryota; Metazoa; Chordata; Mammalia; Artiodactyla; Suidae.
GUUGUUGUUGUUGCUAUUUCUUGGGCUGCUCCCGCGGCAUAUGGAGGUUCCCAGGCUAGGGGUUGAGUCGGAGCUGUAGCCACCGGCCUACGCCAGAGCCACAGCAACGCGGGAUCCGAGCCGUGUCUGCAACCUAUACCACAGCUCACGGCAACGCCGGAUCGUUAACCCACUGAGCAAGGGAAGGGACCGAACCCGCAACCUCAUGGUUCCUAGUCGGAUUCGUUAACCACUGCGCCAGUUAAUUUUUGGUCUUUUUGUUGUGGGUAUCCUUGAAAGUGGACAACUCAGGCAAAGGACAAACAAUUGAGCACACGUGACCAAGAACAGAUGUGGACACAGCCAUCACAGUGGAAAUAAAUAUCAGCUUUAUUAACACUCAAAGUGCCAUUCAUUUAUAUUCAUUCCAUAGUCCAGAAGGUUACUCAGAGUAAGCCUUUGCACCACAAUCUUUCAAAAAAUGAACAUGUAAGAAAAAGCAGUUUUUGUUGUGCUAAUUAUUGCAGGCCUUCAUGCACGAUAAAUCUAAACAGAGAUGUGUGCCAACAAUAUACAAAUUUCCAUAUAAACAAAGUCAUUGGUCACUAACAAAAUAUAAACAUGGUCUCUUUCACAUUGGUUUAAAAAAAAAGCUAUUUACCAGCAAGAAAAAACAAGUACAUAAAAACUGUAAAACUCAGAAAUUUUAUACAUUUUUACAAGCACAAUUGUGAAAGAACACAAAGUCAAAAUGUGCAUGAAAUGUGGCACAUACCACACUGUAUCUGGCUUCUGGUAGGUUUUUCUAAUCAUACCGGCUCCUUAUAACACAAUAAGCUUAGUGACAUUCGACUUCAACAGUGGACUUUAUUCCUAACAUUAAGUCAUUUCACGUGGUACCGCAUAUUAAAAACAAAAGAUUUUUCUUAUUUUUUUCUCACAUUGUCUGACUGGAAAUUUAAUUCCCAAUUCUUUUUCUGCCAGUUACUUAAAACACACAGUACAGCAUAAAGACACAACAAUGUAUGUUUGGACAUUUUUAAACUGAUUUAUAGUCAAUUACAGAGAAUCACAAUAUGUCGAUGUAUUUUAUAAAUGAGGUAUGGCCUUGCCCAGUGAGAGAACUAAAUGUUGAAAUCUUUGGGGUAGAAUAAAGGAAAUAUUAAAAAACAACGUAGGACAGGCCAACAGCAACUGGUGAUAUAAAAACCUUGACAUCUCUUCAAGAUAAUUUAAUUUCUCAUUUUUUCAUAGCUCUGAGAAUUCAAAGGCUGUUUUAGUGGACAGUGUUUUUGCUUCUGCUUAAAACCUUUUUUUCCCCUCUUAAUUUGCAUUUUGCAGAAUUCUCAAAGAGAAUUCAAUGUUCUUCUUUGCAAGAGUGUUUUAAUUGGUAGAUAUUUAAGUAAAUCUGCAUCCAAUUGUGGAAAUACAAAUACAUUUUGAAUGGUUAAAAACAAAAUUAAAAAAAUACUUUUGAUCAGCCAGCUGAAAAUAUAUUCAUAUAGUAAAUAAUCUCUCAGAAAGCUUUAUAUAUAUUUAAUUAUUCUAACUAAACAGUACCUUUAUAAAACAAGUUCAUAAAAAUGUAGAAAUGAAAAUAAGAAAUUACUGGGAUAUAUACAUGUGCCUACAGACAGAAAAAGACAUUUCCACACACACACAUCCCCUGACACACAGAGUACAAGCAUACUUUCAACUUAGUCAUGGAUUUUAGAAAGCAUACAAAAUCAGAAAGUGAUGUUGAACUCCUGAGUUCUUCAACAAAGAUAGAACCAUAGAUAAGUAUACUUUGUAAAAGCAAGAGUGUCCAUUUAAGUCAGUAAUAGCAGUGCAGUUACUGACGGUUACAUCUUAAAAGAAGUUUAAACACAGAGACAGACAGUAGUUCAAUGCACGCAUCCGCAUUCACGAUGCUCACACACCCAUCAACGAUGACUGUCAGAGUAGUAAAUCAGUGUACAAAUAAACAUUUCCAAAAAUGUGCAAAAAAGUCAACCUGGAUAGGAAAAGAACACCUUUGUACAUAAUUAUAAACUGCCCAGCAUUCAAAUGAGAUUAAAAACGUUUACAGAGAGAAACUAACAGAUUAAAUAUAGAGAAUUUAAUGGCUACAUUAAAAAUGUACAUUAGGUCAAAGGGUAAAUUUACAAAUUGAUAAUCAUAGUUUGCAACAUUAAAAGUUUAUUCUCAGAUUUAUCCAAGUUUACUUUUAUUUACAGUGAUGUUUGAAUAAAAAGAACCAUGUGAAAUGUAAGAGAUGUCAGACAAUAAAAGUAUUUUUUGGUAUUAACUUUUAUAAUAUUUCAGAAUGCAGGGUAGCAAAUUUUAAAACCAAUAGCAAUAGAAAAAAUGUAAACCUUUACUUACUAAUUAAGAUUGUAUUAAAACCACUUGUUUUUAAAGAAGUAUUCUUAUUCUCAGACACUGUACUUUCACUUGAACAGGGUAUAUUGCAAGGGUUUGGCCUAUUUUCUUUUGCCCAUAAAUCUUUCCAGCUCAAAUGUUUCCACCAGUUUUUUCUUAUUCCAGGUGGAAAAAAAUCUUUGGAAAAAAUGAGAAUAUGACAAGUCCAUUUUGGAGCCUAAGGAUCUAACAGAGUUAAGAUAUAAUUUUGUUACUUAUCUCUCCUCUCCAAGUAAUGCUAAUGCUAAAAUCACCAAUAGUUAUGUAAGAGAACACAAAAGUGCUUUUCAGUAUAGUCACAAACUUUACUGGCUUUAAAAGGACUCAGAAAUCCUAAUGGGGGACAAAUUCUGUACUCUUCCUUAUGUUCCAAAAUUUCUAUGGUACAAAAAAAUCCAUAACCUACUUUUCUUCACAGCUUUCCUGAAGUGACCCUCAAGUCAAACACAAGUUCAUAAAUGUUAAGACACCAGGAAGAAAGAAUGCCACCAACCUGAGGCAUGCCAUGUGGAUGUAUAUGUGUAUGCCUCUGUGGUCAAGUGGCAUUAGUAAGAUUGGCACAUGUACAAGCUCAAGUUUGUAAUGUCCAUAUAGUUCCAUAAUAGUCAAAGUAAAUUCUGCAUGUCUUAAUGCAAACACUGAGCACCUGUCCUUUAACUUGAAGGCUAGACUGAUACACAAAUUCUACUAGUACCUGCUUUAUCAUUUUUAUACUACUAGCUUACAGGUGGGCAGAAGUAACAGUGCUAAUCAUUUUGGCUAUGUGUGCAGAGAAUAUAAAGCUUUGGUUUAAGGUGAUUCUGAUAAUACAAAUUGUAAAUACAAACAAGACAUCAUCAGGCAUAGAGAAUAAUAGUACUCAUUGAUUUAAUGCCUUUGCUGUUAACAAAAAUAUCAUUACUGUCAAUUAAAAUGCACAGUUAUGAAAAACAUGAGGAAUUACAUAAGAGACUGUAUACAGGCAACAGAUAACAUUUAUUCUUUUCUUGACUAUAGCUCUGACUCCUCCCUCCACUCUCUGAAACUGGACCAUGUCCUCACUAUAACCAAGAAGAUUCUCUGGACCCACCUGAGGGCUCACUGUGCCCUCAGCUCUGACAGAUGAGUGCAGAGAGAUGGUUGGCCCAGGUACUUCCACACCUGCCACAGCAUCCUGUCCAGACUGUGGUAGAAGUCAAAGCAGAGCUAAAGACGACUGUAAAGGAGGAACACUGGCUUCACAGCACGCCUUCCCUAGCCAACAAAAAGAGGUAUGAAACAAUUUCCUUUUAAACGCCUGUUAAGCUAAGGAAGCUUAUUUUGAUAAUGUCUGGCAGAAUUUCUAUUCCAAAAGAGCUCAUGAAGAACUAUGCAAAACCAAUUACUUUCUAUUUAAGAAUUAUAUAUAAGCUAUUAUACACACAUACAAAUUCAACUUUAAUCUACUUUAGCAACCAAGAGCUUGGCAAUUUACAACAAAUACCUUUACUGAACAAUCGUCUGUACUAGCUAUUUGUGGAAAAUGUGCUGGCGCUCCUACCUGAGGACGAUUACACUCGCCUGUCACCAGGAGGUCACCUAUUUUUGAGUUGUUCUUCCAAGAGCAGACUAAUCUAACUGGACAGUCAUACCUUUCCUUCCUUCCCACCCCUGCCCCAACUCCACAUACACACACUUCACAGAAAAGGAAACUAAGGUUUUAGUCAAAACGUUAGUUAAAAGUAAGGAUUAGAAUUUGCUAUCCCUGGAUUUCUUGCUCAUUGCCCUAGGUCUCAUUGCCUUAACAUUUGUAAACCAUUCAAACGGGACCUCUUUAGGGCAAAACCCACCAUUCUUGCUCUGCUUUGAAAAUUAUAACUGAAUCAUGAUAUAUAUACUUUAUAUAUACAUAAUAUAUAAAGAAUUUGGACAGUGCCAAUGUGAUUGAAAAUCAAGUAAUCAACCUGGAAAACAAUUCACUACGUCACAUUAGAAUUAGAAUACCUCUUUCUCUCCUUGUCUUAGGAAUUCGCAUCAAGUAAAACUGCAGUGUGACUAUCACAGACUAAUGCUAAUGUUUCUAACAUAUUAAAAAAAAAAAAAAAAAAAAAA